UACGGGGGGGGCAAGCGUUGUUCGGAAUUACUGGGCGUAAAGGGCUCGUAGGCGGCCAACUAAGUCGGAUGUGAAGUCCCCAGGCUCAACCUGGGAACUGCAUCCGAUACUGGAUGGCUUGAAUUCGGGAGAGGGAUGCAGAAUUCCAGGUGUAGCGGUGAAAUGCGUAGAUAUCAGGAGGAACACCGGUGGUGUAGACGGCUUACUGGACCGCGACUGACGCUGAGGCACGAAAGCGUGGGUAGCGAACAGG
This 253-nucleotide ribosomal RNA is filed under the name uncultured bacterium. RNAcentral's name for it is "partial 16S ribosomal RNA". It matches the Rfam family "Bacterial small subunit ribosomal RNA", at positions 524 to 776 of the family's 1533-position model. The record is from RNAcentral.